This 1230-nucleotide long non-coding RNA is filed under the name Anas platyrhynchos platyrhynchos (common mallard). RNAcentral's name for it is "lncRNA (ENSAPLG00000021622.1)". Lineage: Eukaryota; Metazoa; Chordata; Aves; Anseriformes; Anatidae. The record is from RNAcentral.
AUGUGGAUCUUCAAAGCAAUCAUCUCUGUUAGCCCAGGAGAAGAUCAUGACAAGCAAGGGCCCUCAGAUGCAGGCGGGAGCAGAGCCCGUGGACCUAGCCACCAUCACCUCAGGCAGAACAUCGUAAUUUCUGACCAAGUAUCUUAUUUCAGUGUGGUAUCUUCAGGAGAACCUCCCAGCCUGCCCCACCAGACACAGCAAAGCACCGCAUGGCAGCAGCUCCAAAAACAGGCUCAGCAGGCUACCAUCAUUCAGGCUGCAUGGCGAGGCUACCGAGUCCGGAGAGAGCUGGAUGAAAUGCACAAAGCUGCUGUCAAGAUUCAGGCAGCUUACCGAGGCUACCGGACGCGGCAGGAGUUGCCCCUUGGGUUUUAUGAUUGUUUUGGGGAUGAAACGCUGGCAUUAGAUCAGACGAAGACAGAAGAAGAGAGGGUGGUGUCUCUCCCUGGAGCGUCUGGAGCCUUGGAGUGCUACAUGCUCCUUGGUGAGGGCUCCCAGGCAUCGGGAACGUCCACGGGACACGAGGGGCCGACAGCUCCGUGCGGGGACACACAUGACCCCGGCACUGUUGUUAUUCCCAGAGCAGUUGUCUGCAAGCCAGCGUUUUCUCCCAUGCCAAGCAGUGUUCUGGUCCUAGGUAACAGUUUACCUGCCUGUGAAGUCUUCCCAGCCUUGACAGCUGAACAGCAAGUCCAGGAUGCUGCGGAUAACCCUUGGGCUGCAAGGAGAGAGCAUCAAAGACCGGAGGAGCUGGAUAAAACGGAGAGACAAUCUGCGAAAACAGCAGAGCAGGGCCAGGUCUUGGUUUACAGCUACCAGCUCAGAACAAACAGCUGUGAAAAGUACCACGUGUCAGAGAUACGCAGCAUCACCGCCAUGCAGGAAUUGUCCCCAAAGCCCCAAGAUGCGGCACCCUGCCCCGAACGAGGCCUCACUGUACGCCUGGAGAUGAGAAACGAAAGCAAAGCGACUAAGGCAGGAGGCAAAGGGCCAUCUAUAAGAAACGUUGAUGUGCGUGCAGUGGUGAGGAGCCCACCAGCCUCCUGGAGCUCCUCGAUGUCCCUCCGCGUGUCCAGCCCCAGCGGGACGGUGGAAGGCUCUGCGCGGGACGCGGGCAGAGGCCGGCUGUGCGGGCUGUACACCGUGCACAGGCACGGGGCAUCGCAGCCUUCGCACUUCCACAUCCACCUGCACGUGGUGGGAGCGGGACGGGAGGCAGCAGGCAGCUAG